Long non-coding RNA from Zophobas morio, 2162 nucleotides. RefSeq lists it as uncharacterized. The transcript is spliced from 3 exons. Lineage: Eukaryota; Metazoa; Arthropoda; Insecta; Coleoptera; Tenebrionidae. The record is from RefSeq and is a predicted model, not a curated record.
CCGUGUAAAUGCAAUAAAAAUAAUGAAAGAAACCCACAUAAUAUUAUUUAAAAAGGAAAACUCACACGAAAGGCAAGUUUUUCAACGCCCAGAAAGAACGCGAAGGUAUAUACGGCGUUUCCAAAAAGAUUUACACUCUGGGAGCCCUGUCCUCCAAGUUUCCCGCGGAAACUCUGCUGAAUUUUAGGCAUUACAAACUUGGAUGAACUUGAUAGCUCCAAGCGAGGAAGACAAGGUUCCUUGCACUGGCCACUGUAAAUGAAUGCGAUUGAACUUUUCAAAGGGAUUGAGCCCAAAAUACAGCUUGAAACACAGUAUGCCCGUGCUACCAGCCUCCUUAGGCUUUCUCCUGGCGAUCAAGCUGAGGAUACGUACUUACCACCGAUACCCCUGUAAAGCAUGGAAAUCGCUUCUUUUAUAGUAUGAGAGAACAUCAACUCAAUUCGAUCCUACCUCGAGGACGAACUGUACAGUGCGCAAAAUAAGGUAUGUAUAAGUACCAGUCGUAACGUCUACUUUACUGCUUAUCAAUUAAUACAAUCAUGAAAACCGGACGUGGAAAGUUUCCGCAUUUUUAGGAACGAGAGCUAAUGCUAUGAAGCUAUACUUCGGGUAGAUGUUUGAGGACAGCAGCAUUAAAGGAUUUUUCAUCGGUCUGGAUCCGGAGAGAUACUGCCUUUAAAUCUGGGACCCCAAAGCUUCUAAAGUACUAAGCAGUAGAGAUGCAAACAUUUGAUAAGUCCUUUGCGUAUAAAAAUGCACUGAAUCCAUCUGUAAACCCGGAUACUGCACCUAGUGGAUCAGUAACAUUUGACACGGCCACUGUUGUACGUUUGCGGAAUAUAGGGGGGUCGGACACAAAAUCGAAACUCAGCGCUGAGGAUAUACCCCCAGCCGAUGAACCGAUGCCCUAACUCCGGCAAAUCCAGAAGGCCCCACUACUACGGCUAAUACUCAUCCUAAAAUAGAUGAAAAUGCACCCGGCGAAACUAGUAUGCCUUCUGAAGUUCAACUCCAAGUAAAGCCGAAGGUUCGAAACGCAGAAGUAGACAAAUUGCCUCACGCCAAGCUAGUGUACUCGAGAGUCGGGAUAAACGAACUAAACUUGAGGAUACUACCCAGUGCACCUAUAAUACUGCGCUCUUACCCUCUGCCCUUACUUACGCAUGCCAAGGAGGUACUGGAACCCAAAAUAUAUCGUGGACCCUGAAUGGCACGGUUAAAGAUCAAUGGACAAAGCCCAUUUAGCAUGAACAUGAUUAUCAUAAAAAAUUCAAACUUCGGAACCUACUUCUCUACCAGCUGGACGCAAGAAGAUUGGCGCAAGUGGCUCUUCUAAGUGAAAAAUGAUGCUGAUGGCAUCAUUGAUCGAAGCAAGGGCCGCAUCUAUGCUAAAGAAUAACACGCAAGUAUACGGAGAUGACCACCUCGAUACUUUUAGUCUAGUCAACAUUAAAUCUGUACGGAUACUUUUAUGUCUGGCAGCAAGGUUAAACAUAAAAGUGUUCACAUUUGACGUUAAUGAUACCAAGCCCCGUGGUUUAUAAGGAACUUGCAUCUGCACAGAGACUGUUUGAAUAGUAUCAAGACUACAUUACAUUCCACAGAAAAUAUAUGGAGGGUUGUCCAGUCAUACUUUGUGACCAGGAUAAGUCCAUCGUCUCGAAAAUGUUGAUUUUGAACAAGGUACCAGGCCUUUUUUAAUUUAACCCAGAGUUCUUAAAGUUGGACUUUUUCUCUUCUAACAACAAACUCUGUUGCAAGACAAAAAAAUAAUUAGCAACUAGACUUAAAUUUAUAUCCUACUGUACACACAGCACAUCUGCCUGGUGUAUGUAAAGGUUUAAUCUACUACUCGAAUAAUAUUACAAGAAAAGUAAAGGCAACCGGCCUUGAUAAAGUUAAUAAAAACUUUAACGAUAGACUUGACUAAGAGGACACGCACGCAAGACAACAUAAAAAUCUUCUUCAAAACCCCCUAUGAUCCAAAUGGAUGACCUAGACGUCAACUAAGAUCAGCAAAACCACACGGGAGGGGUUGAGGUCGCACUAAAGAACAGAAUAAAAAUCUGCAUUCUCUUAAUUACGAGCUCAGAGUAUUAGAGAAAGUUACUGAAAACAAGGUUUCCGGCAACCAACGAUAUACCUUACACUAUCUUCAG